AAUGGGUCAGCGACUUAUAUUCUGUAGCAAGGUUAACCGUAUAGGGGAGCCGUAGGGAAACCGAGUCUUAACCGGGCGUUAAGUUGCAGGGUAUAGACCCGAAACCCGGUGAUCUAGCCAUGGGCAGGUUGAAGGUUGGGUAACACUAACUGGAGGACCGAACCGACUAAUGUUGAAAAAUUAGCGGAUGACCUGUGGCUGGGGGUGAAAGGCCAAUCAAACCGGGAGAUAGCUGGUUCUCCCCGAAAGCUAUUUAGGUAGCGCCUCGUGAAUUCAUCUCCGGGGGUAGAGCACUGUUUCGGCUAGGGGGCCAUCCCGGCUUACCAACCCGAUGCAAACUGCGAAUACCGGAGAAUGUUAUCACGGGAGACACACGGCGGGUGCUAACGUCCGUCGUGAAGAGGGAAACAACCCAGACCGCCAGCUAAGGUCCCAAAGUCAUGGUUAAGUGGGAAACGAUGUGGGAAGGCCCAGACAGCCAGGAUGUUGGCUUAGAAGCAGCCAUCAUUUAAAGAAAGCGUAAUAGCUCACUGGUCGAGUCGGCCUGCGCGGAAGAUGUAACGGGGCUAAACCAUGCACCGAAGCUGCGGCAGCGAACGUAUCACCCAAGACAACUUUACGGAGUUGACGAUUGACGGAGCGAAGCGACGUCAAAGCGUUCAUUAAAGUCGAGUUGGCUUAGGGAUACGUUCGUUGGGUAGGGGAGCGUUCUGUAAGCCUGUGAAGGUGUGUCGUGAGGCAUGCUGGAGGUAUCAGAAGUGCGAAUGCUGACAUAAGUAACGAUAAAGCGGGUGAAAAGCCCGCUCGCCGGAAGACCAAGGGUUCCUGUCCAACGUUAAUCGGGGCAGGGUGAGUCGACCCCUAAGGCGAGGCCGAAAGGCGUAGUCGAUGGGAAACGGGUUAAUAUUCCCGUACUUGGUGUUACUGCGAAGGGGGGACGGAGAAGGCUAUGUUGGCCGGGCGACGGUUGUCCCGGUUUAAGCGUGUAGGUGUGUGUUCCAGGUAAAUCCGGUUCACUUUAACACUGAGGCGUGACGACGAGGCACUACGGUGCUGAAGCAACAAAUGCCCUGCUUCCAGGAAAAGCCUCUAAGCAUCAGGUAACAC
RNAcentral lists this ribosomal RNA (1107 nucleotides) under Salmonella enterica subsp. enterica serovar Typhimurium. Its description in RNAcentral is "partial 23S ribosomal RNA". It matches the Rfam family "Bacterial large subunit ribosomal RNA", at positions 614 to 1637 of the family's 2925-position model. The record is from RNAcentral. Lineage: Bacteria; Pseudomonadati; Pseudomonadota; Gammaproteobacteria; Enterobacterales; Enterobacteriaceae.